UACGUAGGGUCCGAGCGUUGUCCGGAAUUACUGGGCGUAAAGAGCUCGUAGGUGGUUUGUCGCGUUGUUCGUGAAAACUCACAGCUCAACUGUGGGCGUGCGGGCGAUACGGGCAGACUAGAGUACUGCAGGGGAGACUGGAAUUCCUGGUGUAGCGGUGGAAUGCGCAGAUAUCGGGAGGAACACCAGUAGCGAAGGCGGCACUCUGGGCCGUGACUGACGCUGAGGAGCGAAAGCGUGGGUAGCAAACAGG
RNAcentral lists this ribosomal RNA (253 nucleotides) under uncultured bacterium. RNAcentral describes it as "partial 16S ribosomal RNA". It matches the Rfam family "Bacterial small subunit ribosomal RNA", at positions 524 to 776 of the family's 1533-position model. The record is from RNAcentral.